RNAcentral lists this non-coding RNA (23 nucleotides) under Chrysemys picta (Painted turtle). The record is from miRBase by way of RNAcentral. RNAcentral also lists the same sequence under 4 other names. Lineage: Eukaryota; Metazoa; Chordata; Testudines; Emydidae.
UGGACGUUGGCUCUGGUGGUGAU